RNAcentral lists this transfer RNA (88 nucleotides) under Cryptomonas curvata. RNAcentral describes it as "tRNA-Leu". It matches the Rfam family "tRNA". From Rfam's summary of the family: Transfer RNA (tRNA) molecules are approximately 80 nucleotides in length. Their secondary structure includes four short double-helical elements and three loops (D, anti-codon, and T loops). Further hydrogen bonds mediate the characteristic L-shaped molecular structure. tRNAs have two regions of fundamental functional importance: the anti-codon, which is responsible for specific mRNA codon recognition, and the 3' end, to which the tRNAs corresponding amino acid is attached (by aminoacyl-tRNA synthetases). tRNAs cope with the degeneracy of the genetic code in two manners: having more than one tRNA (with a specific anti-codon) for a particular amino acid; and 'wobble' base-pairing, i.e. permitting non-standard base-pairing at the 3rd anti-codon position. Lineage: Eukaryota; Cryptophyceae; Cryptomonadales; Cryptomonadaceae. The record is from RNAcentral.
GCUAGAGUGGCCGAGCGGUCUAAGGCGCCAGACUUAAGAUCUGGUGAUUAAUAUCGCGUGGGUUCGAAUAUACAUCCCACCUCUAGCA